RNAcentral lists this ribosomal RNA (587 nucleotides) under uncultured bacterium. RNAcentral's name for it is "partial 16S ribosomal RNA". It matches the Rfam family "Bacterial small subunit ribosomal RNA", at positions 355 to 1375 of the family's 1533-position model. The record is from RNAcentral.
UGGGGAAUUUUGGACAAUGGGCGAAAGCCUGAUCCAGCAAUGCCGCGUGUGUGAAGAAGGCCUUCGGGUUGUAAAGCACUUUUGUCCGGAAAGAAAUCCUUGGCUCUAAUACAGUCGGGGGAUGACGGUACCGGAAGAAUAAGCACCGGCUAACUACGUGCCAGCAGCCGCGGUAAUACGUAGGGUGCAAGCGUUAAUUGGAAUUACUGGGCGUAAAGCGUGCGCAGGCGGUUUGCUAAGACCGAUGUGAAAUCCCCGGGCUCAACCUGGGAACUGCACUGGUGACUGGCAGGCUAGAGUAUGGCAGAGGGGGGUUAGAAUUCCACGUGUAGCAGUGAAAUGCGUAGAGAUGUGGAGGAAUACCGAUGGCGAAGGCAGCCCCCUGGGCCAAUACUGACGCUCAUGCACGAAAGCGUGGGGAGCAAACAGGAUUAGAUACCCUGGUAGUCCACGCCCUAAACGAUGUCAACUAGUUGUUGGGGGAUUCAUUUCCUUAGUAACGUAGCUAACGCGUGAAGUUGACCGCCUGGGGAGUACGGUCGCAAGAUUAAAACUCAAAGGAAUUGACGGGGUCAUAGCUGUUUCCU